Pteropus alecto (black flying fox) is the source of this 1363-nucleotide long non-coding RNA. RefSeq lists it as uncharacterized. NCBI's taxonomy places the organism in Eukaryota, Metazoa, Chordata, Mammalia, Chiroptera, Pteropodidae. The transcript has 4 exons. The record is from RefSeq and is a predicted model, not a curated record.
CUCAAGCCAGGAUCUUUCCUGAAGCCGCAGAGGCCCAGGUCCUCUGACCCUCUGCUGCUCCACCUCCCUCUGGAGCCUCAGUAGGGCUGGACUCUGGGUGCCCGUCGUUCAGAACCGCCUGGAUUAUUAAAGACAUUUCAAAAGCUAUCGUCACCAAAGUCCGAGUACCAGGAAUCCCGGAGGCCUGCGAGGUUAUUUGAAGGAAGAAACAAGGAACGAGCCUGAAGCAAGAGUCUGACCUCCAGCCCGUCCCACCUGACCCCAACAUUCCGCUUGCAAACCCCAGCAGCUGCAUCCUGGUUGACUCUUCUGCUUUCCAUUCCCUGCUGUGACUGCUCCAGGCCAAGAAUCGCCGCAGGCAGGACGAACGGGCAUUCUGCUCUUGGACUCCUGUGCCUUUGGUCUUGGCAGCCGUGGAACAGCGUGGAGGAGGAGCAGGAUAUUUGCAGAGGAGAAUUCUGGGACUACUCAUGGUCAUUCGUGAGCACAAACACAGCAUGAGACUAAAUGACCAACCUUUUAUAUCAAUAAGGGUUUCCUGGGACCUCGCUUUGAGAAAGAUGAAGAAACUCAGGUUUGAGGAGAACUUGCUCAUGGCCACGGAAGUGGUGAACGGUCGGUCCGGCAAGGAUGCAGACCCAACGCCGGGGCUCUCGGCUCUUCUUCGCGUGGCAUCGGGAGCUCCCCAAAGCAUCGCUGCAGUCCGCUCUAACUUCGUACUGGGCAUCUGUUAAGUCCGUCCUCGAAUAACAGCUCUUCCUUGGGGGAGAUGCCUCUUCCGCACCAGGCGGUGGUGUCCAUCGCAUGCCGUGACUCCCCGUGGCCGCGAGGUCGGUGAUCCAGGCUGGGUAUCAGAGACUCCCAUUUCCCAAGCACAGCGAUGGGCCCAGUUGUGAACUUCUGCCGCAAGCACGGUCAUUCAGAGCCCGCUUUGGAAGACUAUCACGCAUGCUGGGAGAGAGGGUCUUGCCUUCUAAGGUGGUGAGCAUCACGUAAGCUAACAAGGACCACUUUUCUAUCCGGCUAGAGAGAGCCUAUUUGGGUGAGCAGCUCACAUAGAAAAGCGCGGGGCUGAGAGACACUCUCGACGGUGUCGUUUGAGCCCCCAGAUCCAGCCACCCCUGAAGCCUAAGAAGUGAACCAAUAAACUCCUGUUUUUACCUACGCCACUUCAAGGUGGUUUUCUGCCUCUAAACAUUGAAACAACAACAACGGCAACGAAAACUACAAAGAAACUUCAUACACACAAGGGGCAGAAGACUCGAGUUAUCCACGCUGGCCGCCGGCUGCUCUGCGGACAUUUCCACCCUGACCGAGACGGCUCCUCACCGGGGUCUUCUCUCUCCCACUGCUUUCCAUCUUC